UGGGGAAUCUUGCGCAAUGGGCGAAAGCCUGACGCAGCGACGCCGCGUGCGGGAAGAAGGCCUUCGGGUUGUAAACCGCUUUCAGGAGGGACGAGGCCACUCGGGUUAAUAGCCUAGAGGGUGACGGUACCCCCAGAAGAAGCCCCGGCUAACUACGUGCCAGCAGCCGCGGUAAUACGUAGGGGGCUAGCGUUGUCCGGAUUUAUUGGGCGUAAAGAGCGCGUAGGCGGCCGAGUAAGUCCGACGUGAAAUCUGGAGGCUCAACCUCCAGCGGUCGUUGGAAACUACUCGGCUAGAGUCCGGAAGAGGAGAGUGGAAUUCCUGGUGUAGCGGUGAAAUGCGCAGAUAUCAGGAAGAACACCGAUGGCGAAAGCAGCUCUCUGGGACGGUACUGACGCUGAGGCGCGAAAGCGUGGGGAGCGAACAGGAUUAGAUACCCUGGUAGUCCACGCCGUAAACGAUGGGUGCUAGGUGUGGGCGGUGUCGACUCCG
RNAcentral lists this ribosomal RNA (492 nucleotides) under uncultured Actinomycetes bacterium. Its description in RNAcentral is "bacterial SSU rRNA". It matches the Rfam family "Bacterial small subunit ribosomal RNA", at positions 355 to 839 of the family's 1533-position model. The record is from RNAcentral. Lineage: Bacteria; Bacillati; Actinomycetota; Actinomycetes.